UACGGAGGGUGCGAGCGUUGUUCGGAAUCACUGGGCGUAAAGCGCGUGUAGGCGGCUUCUUAAGUCUGAUGUGAAAGCCCGGGGCUCACCCCCGGAAGUGCACUGGAAACUGGGAAGCUCGAGUACCGGAGAGGAGGGUGGAAUUCCUGGUGUAGCGGUGAAAUGCGUAGAUAUCAGGAGGAACACCGGUGGCGAAGGCGGCCCUCUGGACGGAUACUGACGCUGAGACGCGAAAGCGUGGGGAGCAAACAGG
Molecule: ribosomal RNA, 253 nt
Filed under: uncultured bacterium
Lineage: Bacteria
Description: partial 16S ribosomal RNA
Rfam family: Bacterial small subunit ribosomal RNA
Source: RNAcentral